Molecule: ribosomal RNA, 101 nt
Filed under: Burkholderia cenocepacia
Lineage: Bacteria; Pseudomonadati; Pseudomonadota; Betaproteobacteria; Burkholderiales; Burkholderiaceae
Description: partial 16S ribosomal RNA
Rfam family: Bacterial small subunit ribosomal RNA
Source: RNAcentral
GUCUAACCGCAAGGAGGACGGUCACCACGGUAGGAUUCAUGACUGGGGUGAAGUCGUAACAAGGUAGCCGUAUCGGAAGGUGCGGCUGGAUCACCUCCUUU